UCUCCUGUUCAUAAAUGCAACAAAGCCACAAUUUCUUUCUCUUGCUCUUUCUUCAUCAGUUCUUGGCCACAUAAUUUUAACACUUGCUAGUGGUCCAAAGCGUCCAAAUUCUUGACAUAACAUCUCUUCAUUCAUUUGAGGAUUAAUGUUUCCCAGGUACAAAUUUGUUGUGCUUGGAUCUCCAACAUCAUGUGACCCUGGUGCAUAAUCAUCCAGUACACCAGAUGAUCUGUUUCUUCUUGAAGGAGCAUCCAUUGAACGACGCUGACCAUCUGAAUCCGACUGGGGUGGUUCAAAACGACUCAGUCUACCUUUGGUUUUAUGUCUUUCAUCACGCUCUUCUUGUAUCUGCUUUAAUUCUUCUUUAAAAAGUUCCAGAUUGCUCUUUUUCUUUUCCUUCUCUCCUUUCUUCAAAGGAGGCUUUUUGGUUUCUAUCAUUAAGAGGGAUGGAGGCUUCUCAUUAGAUGGUUGACUUGGUUGGUUUUUCUGAUCUGAAAAUCGUGAUGAAGGUUUAUAGAUUUUACCCCGUUUUUCAUCUGUUUCAUGUUCCUCUUUAGAUGCAUUAACAAUUCCUCCUCUUACAAAUGUUUUCACUUUAUUGCCAUCGCUUCCCUCAAAGGCAGCAAGGAAUUCUUCAUAAAUUUCUGCAGCAGCCUUCUCAUCCUCCUUCUUUUUUAAUUCUUCUUGUUCCUUCUUGCUCAAAGUCCGUUUGGCAGCACUCAUUUUGCCAAUGCUGAACGCUUUAAGUUUACUUUCCAUUAAAGGAUGUGUAUCAGCAGACCCAGUGUUAUGUACCGCAUCUGGAGCUCUGACCUUCCCACUGCCUUUCUGCGAGCCGCCGGGCGCCUUGUCCGCCAUCUUGCCUCUCCCUGCGCUCAGCCCCG
RNAcentral lists this long non-coding RNA (884 nucleotides) under Gallus gallus (chicken). Lineage: Eukaryota; Metazoa; Chordata; Aves; Galliformes; Phasianidae. The record is from RNAcentral.